AAUCAACGCUGGCGGCGUGCCUAAUACAUGCAAGUCGAACGCGAAAGUCCCGCAAGGGAUGAGUAGAGUGGCAAACGGGUGAGUAACGCGUGGGUGACCUGCCUUCGAGUGGGGGAUAACGUUUCGAAAGGAACGCUAAUACCGCAUGACAUCCUGUCUUUUAACAGACGGAGAUCAAAGCCGGGGAUCGCAAGACCUGGCGCUUGAAGAGGGGCCCGCGUCCGAUUAGCUAGUUGGGGGGUAAUGGCUCACCAAGGCAUCGAUCGGUAGCCGGCCUGAGAGGGCGGACGGCCACACUGGGACUGAGACACGGCCCAGACUCCUACGGGAGGCAGCAGUAGGGAAUUGUUCGCAAUGGGCGCAAGCCUGACGACGCAACGCCGCGUGGAGGAUGAAGACCUGGUCGUAACU
This 411-nucleotide ribosomal RNA is filed under the name uncultured bacterium. Its description in RNAcentral is "bacterial SSU rRNA". It matches the Rfam family "Bacterial small subunit ribosomal RNA", at positions 32 to 431 of the family's 1533-position model. The record is from RNAcentral.